GCUGGGUGUGGCUCAGUGGUAUACCGCUUGCCUCUCAUGUGUGAAGCACUGGGUUCAAUUCUCAGCACCGCA
This 72-nucleotide transfer RNA is filed under the name Marmota monax (woodchuck). RNAcentral describes it as "tRNA.Glu". Lineage: Eukaryota; Metazoa; Chordata; Mammalia; Rodentia; Sciuridae. The record is from RNAcentral.